AAGACCUUGCACUUUUGGAGCGGCCGAUGUCUGAUUAGCUAGUUGGUGGGGUAAUGGCCUACCAAAGCUUCGAUCAGUAGCUGGUCUGAGAGGACGGCCAGCCACACUGGGACUGAGACACGGCCCAGACUCCUACGGGAGGCAGCAGUGGGGAAUUUUGGACAAUGGGGGCAACCCUGAUCCAGCCAUGCCGCGUGAGUGAAGAAGGCCUUCGGGUUGUAAAGCUCUUUCAGCCGGGAAGAAAAGGUCACGACGAAUACUUGUAGCUCAUGACGGUACCGGAAGAAGAAGCACCGGCUAACUACGUGCCAGCAGCCGCGGUAAUACGUAGGGUGCGAGCGUUAAUCGGAAUUACUGGGCGUAAAGCGUGCGCAGGUGGUUUUGUAAGUCAGAUGUGAAAGCCCCGGGCUCAACCUGGGAAC
RNAcentral lists this ribosomal RNA (422 nucleotides) under uncultured bacterium. Its description in RNAcentral is "bacterial SSU rRNA". It matches the Rfam family "Bacterial small subunit ribosomal RNA", at positions 207 to 621 of the family's 1533-position model. The record is from RNAcentral.